AAAACAUGAAUGCUGCAUGUAAGCAGAAAGGCAGGGUGGCAUCUUCAAUGAGGAGAUGUAUUUUCCACUGUGAGAGAGGUAAAAUGCAGGAAACCAGAUGUGAGAGAAAGCACGGGAACCCUUCAGCUGGCACCUGCCUCCCUAUUGUCUUCUGGCUCUGCUCAUCUUGCUAGUUAUCUGUCCACAAAGGCGUCAGCUUUGAUCUCAAUCUGCCUG
Molecule: long non-coding RNA, 216 nt
Filed under: Dasypus novemcinctus (nine-banded armadillo)
Lineage: Eukaryota; Metazoa; Chordata; Mammalia; Cingulata; Dasypodidae
Description: lncRNA (ENSDNOG00000050449.1)
Source: RNAcentral